GGGAUAUGUAGUCUUGUGAUGUAAUUGAGUUGAAUGAUUUGUUGUUUGGUUGUCAUACUUGAAAAGUGAAGUCUGAAAGAUCUGUUUUUGAUCUUGUUUUUCUAAUCGAUAAUUCUACAUGCAUCUCAUAUCUGAUGAUUGAAACAACGGAUGCCAUUCCCUGAUAUGACAAUGAUUUUUUGUUGUGCCAGGUGAACACAGAACAUGUAAUGAUCAAAUGCGCUAUUGGAAUCAUGGCAUUCUUGCAAGGUUAAUAGUAUCUGAUAUUUACGUGGCUGUGAAAUCAUUUCAUUUCUGGGAUGUUCACUUCUCAAAAGUGCAUGCCUUUUUUAGUUUCUUCCUCUACGGUGUUCUUUUUUAGCUUGUAGGCUUGGUCAUUGUUAUUAUUUGCUUAUCUUUCAUCCUACAUUGCGAAUUCUGAAUACUAAUGAACACUGACUUUUACUGAUGAGAACUUGAUACCUGAAUGUGUCGAUCCUUCCAUAUUAUACAUUUAGAUAGUAGAUGAUGAAUAGUUUGUUAUGAAGCAUGUGUAACUUAUACUUCCAUUGCUUUCACGUUCAAUUAUUAGGAAGCUGAUUUUGUUCAAUGUUUUAUGGAGUAAAUGAGCUAAUUUCAUGAUGUCUCACCUAAUGAGGUUUGGUCUCUUAGCGACGUGCAUGAGGAGUUUCAUAGAUUUCACUUUAGUAUUUUGAGGGUUAUAGUAUCCUUUGCAUGAUUAGAUUCAGUUUUCCAUCUUUUCUAUUGUUGAUGAGCAUGUCUAUUAGGCAUGCAUAUUUAUUAUCUCAGCUACUGAACUGUUUUUUGACUAUAUAUCUAUAUGGUUGGACGAUUAUUUAUUUACCUGUUUAUUCUUUUAGUUUCAGAACCCUCUCCUAAUUCCUUGAUGGGUGUUGGUGUAUGGAAGCAGAUUCGUCUUCCUGCAUAUAACAGGCACAGUGCUUUUAUGUUCAAUCUUCUACAAUUUUAUAGUGCUAUUUCUUCUUUUAUGCUUCAAUUGAUUGUUCCAUUUUUUGCUUGUAAUGUCUUCUUCCUUGUUUUGUGCUUAUAUUGGGAAGAAAAAUGCGCUAGUGAUGGAUCAAGACACUUUCAUGCCCUGAUACUGUUUAUGAAUGUUAAGUGAAAAGUGAAAUUUAGAGAAUGUCAUCUGAAUCUGACGUGAGAAACCAGAUAGUUUUAUCCACUUAAAUAAGAUAGGAGUGGGUAAGAACAAAAUUUGAAGGUUCAGGAGUUUUGCAUAAGAGCUAAGAUUCAUAUCGUCCAAUGAUAAACUCUCCUUCAUAUGUUUAAGUGGAUUUGUAGAAGUCUUAGGCCCCUUCAACGUGUGAAGAACUUCUCUUUCUUUUUCCCGGCCCGCGACUGUUAUUCACAUUCUUUCCCUUGCUAUACUACAGUAAUGAGAAACCAGAUAGGUUUAUCCUCUUAAAUAAGAUAGGAGUGGGGAAGUACAAAAUUUGAAGGUUCAGGAGUCCUGCGUAAGAGCUAAGAUUCACAUCGUUCAAUGAUAAAUUCUCCUUCACACGUUUAAGUGGAUUUGUAGAAUUCUUAGGCCCCUUCCAACGUGUGAAGACCUUCUCUUCCUUUUUCCCGGCCCGCUACUGUUAUUCACAAUCUUUCCCUCGCUAAUACUACAGUAGCAAUUAUGAUUUCAUGUAUCAAGUUAUGCUCUUGCUUUUAGCAUUUUAAACUUCUGUAGGACUUUCAGUUGCCGGUAAGAACUUUAUAUUUUAAGAGAUGAUGCAUUCACGAGGAGCUUUAUUAUCCACUAUCAUCUUCUCUUUUCAAUUUUUUUAAUGUUUUCUUUACCUCCUAUAGUUGUUUAAUUUAUGAAUUCCUCUCUUCUUGACAUGUGGAACUCUAUUAUGUCUGGUAAAACUGUUUUCUUCUGUCCACCGUUAAUCUACUAUGCCUUGUGGUAUUUCUUAUGCAUGCCGAACUGUCUGAUAAGUGGCUUUUCUAUGAACUGGACAUUUUAGAAGCGUGUCAUAUAGAUUCACAAAGCUUAAACAAAUGUUUGAAAUAUCCAUUAUGGGGAUUUGGAGGAGAAAGUAAAGAUGUGCAUGGACAUAAUCGUGUGGAGUGCUUGAAGAAUCCUUGAAAUGCACUUGUCAAAAAUAGAAAAAAGAAAUAAAGAAUCCUUAAAAUGUAAUCCUGCCAAAUUGUGAUGUCGUGAUAUAUAAAGAAUGCUUUAAUAUGCAUUGAAUGUGGUGGACUAUUAACUCCAGCUCUGUUCUUAACUUUGACGCAUAAGAUUGAGUACAGAAAUAUAACUAAAAGAUUUGCCUCAGAGAUAGUAAUGAAGCUAAGACUUUCAACUUUUCGUCUCAAAGCAUUAUAUCACAGAACUGAUAUCUCUACUUCCUAAGCGAACUAUAUAUUAGGUUGAUGAAGGUUUUGUUUCAGCAAACAGUUGAAUCAUGUGUAUAGGAGUGAAUCUUUUAUGCUUCCUUCUUUCGUAAGUGACCAUUUCAUAUAUACCGCUUAAGCCAUGUAAAAGUUGAGCAUAUUAGUAGAUCUAAUAGUGAGUGGUUUUCUAUUGGAAAAAAUAUACUCCCAAUUCUGUUAUUAUUCUGAAACAUAAUAAUAGUAUGUACUACUCUAGAUACUAUUCAUAGUCAAUUUGACAUAUUCUUUGGGUUUUCUUUGUUCAUCAACAGAAACUGUGGUUGUGAAUAAUUACCGUGAUGAUUUUGCAAAAAAAAUGGUGAUUGAUCUUGGAUUUGAUUUAGGCUUAUUCUCUGGAAGUUUUACUGUUUGAAGCGUAAUAAUUUAACCAGUUUCCUUUUAGGAUCCUUUUUGUAAUGAUAUAGCAGAAUACUUACGAUAGUUCUUGGUGAUAGAUAGGCACUGUCAAUAAUUUGAUAUCAAUUAACUCGGAGAACGAAAAUCAGUGUUACAUGUCUCUGGUUUAAUCUCUAUAAGCAGUUUUAUUUUUACCACUUAAGUUUAGUAUUUAACCAGUUUCGCCUACAUUACAUAGGAUUAAUAUCUUUUAGCUUUC
RNAcentral lists this long non-coding RNA (3001 nucleotides) under Nicotiana benthamiana. RNAcentral's name for it is "long non-coding RNA (NBEN_LNC034529)". Lineage: Eukaryota; Viridiplantae; Streptophyta; Magnoliopsida; Solanales; Solanaceae. The record is from RNAcentral.